GGAUGCGAUCAUACCAGCACUAAAGCACCGGAUCCCAUCAAAACUUCGAAGUUAAGCGUGCUUGGGCGAGAGUAGUACUAGGAUGGGUGACCUCCUGGGAAGUCCUCGUGUUGCAUUCC
Molecule: ribosomal RNA, 119 nt
Filed under: Hordeum vulgare subsp. vulgare (domesticated barley)
Lineage: Eukaryota; Viridiplantae; Streptophyta; Magnoliopsida; Poales; Poaceae
Source: RNAcentral